RNAcentral lists this ribosomal RNA (253 nucleotides) under uncultured bacterium. RNAcentral's name for it is "partial 16S ribosomal RNA". It matches the Rfam family "Bacterial small subunit ribosomal RNA", at positions 524 to 776 of the family's 1533-position model. The record is from RNAcentral.
UACGUAGGUGGCAAGCGUUGUCCGGAUUUACUGGGCGUAAAGCGUAUGCAGGCGGAUUGUUAAGUAGGAAGUGAAAGGUUGGAGCUCAACUCCAACACUGCUCCCUAUACUGGCAGUCUUGAGUGGCGGAGAGGAAGACGGAACGACACGUGUAGCGGUGAAAUGCGUUGAUAUGUGUCGGAACACCAAUGGCGAAAGCAGUCUUCUGGACGCAAACUGACGCUGAGAUACGAAAGCCAAGGUAGCAAACAGG